AAAAAUAAAACAAUCUUAGAAGAAAAAACAUGAUCAUUUUACAUAUGUCAUACAAAACUCAGCCUCAAGACCCCUAAAGGUUCAGGGUUGUUAAGAUUUAUAUAUAUUUUUUAUUUUGUAAAAACAUAACUUCAUGAUCCCUAAAGGUUCAGGACUUUUAAACUAUAUAUAUUUACAUAUUUUAUUUAUCAAAACAUAUCUCACGACCCCUCAAAGGUUCAGGGCUAUUAAGAUAUGUAUUAAAAUUAAAUUUGAGGAUAAGAAAGGGAAAAGUAAGAUAAAAUAAUAAUACUAAUGAAAAUAGUCAUUUUUCAAAAAUAUCCCUCAAUAAAUCUG
Molecule: long non-coding RNA, 336 nt
Filed under: Capsicum annuum
Lineage: Eukaryota; Viridiplantae; Streptophyta; Magnoliopsida; Solanales; Solanaceae
Description: long non-coding RNA (CANN_LNC000261)
Source: RNAcentral